Molecule: RNA transcript, 2641 nt
Organism: Alligator sinensis (Chinese alligator)
Lineage: Eukaryota; Metazoa; Chordata; Crocodylia; Alligatoridae
Gene: STX1A
Gene name: syntaxin 1A
Exons: 10
Source: RefSeq, a predicted model, not a curated record
CAGCCCAGCCCAGCCCGAGCCGCCGGGCAGCCGCGAGCAUGAAGGACCGCACCGGGGAGCUCCGCGCGGCUAAGGACAGCGACGAUGAUGAUGAAGUCACUGUUAGCGUGGACCGGGAUCGCUUCAUGGAUGAGUUCUUUGAACAAGUAGAGGAAAUUCGAGGGUUUAUUGACAAAAUUUCGGAGAACGUGGAGGAAGUGAAGAGGAAGCACAGUGCCAUUCUUGCUGCACCCAACCCAGAUGAGAAAACAAAGGACGAGCUAGAAGAAUUAAUGUCCGACAUCAAAAAGACGGCAAACAAAGUGCGCUCCAAGUUAAAGAGUAUUGAACAGAGCAUUGAACAAGAAGAAGGACUGAAUAGAUCAUCUGCUGACCUAAGGAUAAGAAAAACUCAGCAUUCCACAUUAUCACGCAAGUUCGUGGAGGUGAUGUCGGAGUACAAUGCCACGCAGUCUGACUAUAGAGAGCGCUGCAAAGGGAGGAUUCAAAGGCAACUGGAAAUCACUGGUAGGACUACAACCAGUGAGGAGCUGGAAGACAUGCUGGAGAGCGGGAAUCCAGCCAUUUUCUCCUCUGGGAUCAUCAUGGACUCCAACAUCACAAAGCAGGCACUCAAUGAGAUUGAGACGCGGCACAGUGAGAUCAUCAAGCUGGAGAACAGCAUCCGGGAGCUGCAUGACAUGUUCAUGGACAUGGCGAUGCUCGUGGAGAGCCAGGGGCAGCAGUGACCAUGCUGGAAUGGGAAGCCCCUGUGUCCAGACUGAAGUCUGUGAGGUGCCAAGGAGAACCCUAGGGUAGGCAGCCUGUUCUGCAGCCUGACAGCAGCAGGUAAUGGGAGCAACCAGAGGAGUGUGCCUGGAGCUCACACCAGUGCAUACAUGUGUGUGUGUGCGUGCAUAUGCGUGUGCGUAUUCUCUCCUGUGCCACGCAGGGUGAGAUGAUCGACCGCAUCGAGUAUAAUGUCGAGCACUCCGUGGACUAUGUGGAGAGGGCUGUGUCUGAUACCAAAAAAGCUGUUAAGUACCAGAGCAAAGCCCGACGGAAGAAGAUCAUGAUCAUUAUCUGCUGCGUGGUGCUGGGCAUUGUCAUCGCCUCCACCUUCGGUGGCAUUUUCGGAUAGAACUUCCCAAGCCCAGACUCUUUCUUUUCAAAGAGUCCAAGAAAGUGAGGCCGAACUGCCGGGCCUGGCAGCCGCCCUGCAGGGAGCCUCGCCUCAGCGCCCCCGGGAGCCCUCCCAGCAGAAUUUCAGUUUCUAAUGCAUGAUCGUUUUGUAACUGUGCGUGUGGUGCGGUACGUCUGUGUGGAGAGGGGCUGCACUAGGCCAGGAGGGCGGGCAGUGUGGGGAGCCAGGGUCAGGGCAGGAGGGGACAACAAAGCAGGGACCUGAGAUGCCAGGGGUUGGGGGAACUGGGAUCCAGAGAGGGCAGAACACACUUGGCACUGCUUCUAACACAGGGAGCCAGAUGGCAUAGGCACAGGUGCAGGUUGCCCGUGACCAGUCUUCUAACAUGCAGCCAGGCACAUGGCAGCUGAACCCACUGGCUGAAGGAGCACCCUGAGAACAAGGAGCAGGGCUAAUGUCAGUACAGGGCAAUGCUGGGUUAUCAGGGCAGGUGCUGGCCAACCAACCCCCCAGUCAAUUCUGGUCCCUUGCUGGCACAGCUAACAUCUGUGUCCCUAGCACCUGCCCUGUCAGGCCACUCAUAACGCAGCACCUCUGCUGGCUCCUUUUCCUGGCCAGUUGUGGCAUCACGCCCACCUCCUUGGCAGAUGCUUCCUGCAGUGUCCCUCACACCUGGCAUCCCUUGGCUCUUCUGUGACCACUUCCUGCAGUGUCCUGGCUUCUCUUCCUCUUCCCCAGCUGCCUUGCCCAGUAGCUGCUCUGGGCAUGUUCCCUCCACUGUGGCUCCUGCAGGGCUGGGUUCUCUGCUGCUGCCUGUGCUGGUCGGAAAUGUUUUUCUGUGAGGCUGCGCUGACAGGACAGCAGUCCCUGUGCCCAUGGAGUGCACGUCCCCGGGUAGGACCAGUGCUGCUGCAUGGGAAGGAUCAGGGGUAGACAGAUCGGGGUAGACAGAACUGCAUUCCUCCCUGCUGCCCCCUAGGCCAGCCAGGGCACAUUCUUGCUCCUUGUCCUUUUGGCCUGAGAGGUGAGCUGUGCAGAGCUGGCACUGUGCGGGGACCCCAAAGGAGGAUUGAGCAGAGGCCUGAGCUCUGCCACUGACUGGGCAGGGGAGAUGGUGUGGGAGCAGGGGUAGUUCUUGGCCUUGCUCCUGGUCCCCUCCAUUCCUAUGCCCCACUGUUAGAAGAGCCCCAGGUCCCUUCACUGCACCUUGCACUUACUUGGGGAAUGCCCCAUGGUACUGGAGGUCGCCUUGGCCAUUGCCUAACACUUCCGCCAGCUCUGGGCUGAUAUUCAUAGAAUCAUAGAAAAUUAGGGUUGGAAGGGACUUCAGGAGGUCAUCUCAUCCAACCCGCUGUUCAAAGCAGGAUCAUCCCCAAUUAUCAUCCCAGCCUAGGCUUUGUCUAGCAGUGUCUUAACCAUCUCCAAGGAUGGAGAUUUCACAACCUCUCUGGGUAGCCUGUUCCAGUGCUUUACCACCCUCCUAGUGAGAACAUUUUUCUUAGUAUCUAACUUAAACUU